Non-coding RNA from Paramormyrops kingsleyae, 429 nucleotides. Lineage: Eukaryota; Metazoa; Chordata; Actinopteri; Osteoglossiformes; Mormyridae. The record is from RefSeq and is a predicted model, not a curated record.
UGACAGCACUGGACACCCAGUUCAUCCAAAGUCAGUGACACUGAUCUCCAACCAGCUCUGCACAGCAAACUGUAACUCUAGCUGGGGUGGAAACUAGCUAUCAGCUUCGACACCAUAUGCUAAACAGGGAGCACCAGGACAACAGCCCCCUGCUUGAGGGGCCCCACCAGAGGACACCGGACAGGAAGCCACCAACCCAGCCCACAACCCCCAGCCCCAGCACAAGCUGGGUCCAGAACCACUGAGGCCCGGAAGCCAGACACCCACGCACACCCCCGGCGGGAGGCCCCCCACGUACCUGUGGCCUAUAUAUAGUGAUCAAGGUCUGAUUUACAGUCUGUCAGCAUUUCUGCUCCUGUAAGAGUCAGUCAGCGAUACCUGAGACAUGUCUGAUGAGCCCUGCUAUUGCAACGUGGCCUUCAAUUCCUU